Molecule: ribosomal RNA, 404 nt
Filed under: uncultured bacterium
Lineage: Bacteria
Description: bacterial SSU rRNA
Rfam family: Bacterial small subunit ribosomal RNA
Source: RNAcentral
CAGGGAAUUUUGCGCAAUGGGCGAAAGCCUGACGCAGCGACGCCGCGUGGGCGAUGAAGGCCUUCGGGUUGUAAAGCCCUUUUCUGGGGGAAGAGAGAGGACGGUACCUCAGGAAUAAGCGUCGGCUAACUACGUGCCAGCAGCCGCGGUAAUACGUAGGACGCGAGCGUUAUCCGGAUUCACUGGGCGUAAAGCGCCUGCAGGCGGUUUCGUAAGUUGGGUGUGAAAGCCCCAGGCUUAACCUAGGGAGGCCAUUCAAUACUGCGGAGCUUGAGGAGGGGAGAGGGAAGCGGAAUUCCCGGUGUAGCGGUAGAAUGCGCAGAUAUCGGGAGGAACACCAGUGGUGAAGGCGGCUUCCUGGCCCGUUCCUGACGCUCGGAGGCGAAAGCUAGGGGAGCAAACAG